Molecule: ribosomal RNA, 119 nt
Organism: Arabidopsis thaliana (thale cress)
Lineage: Eukaryota; Viridiplantae; Streptophyta; Magnoliopsida; Brassicales; Brassicaceae
Source: Rfam
GGAUACAAUCAUACAAUCACUAUUGCACCGGAUCCCAUUAGAACUCCGCAACAAAGCGUUCUUGGGUGAAAGUAGUACUAGAAUGGGUGACCUACCGGGAAGUCCUCGUGUUGCAUUCC